RNAcentral lists this long non-coding RNA (207 nucleotides) under Brassica napus (rape). RNAcentral's name for it is "long non-coding RNA (BNAP_LNC001486)". The record is from RNAcentral. Lineage: Eukaryota; Viridiplantae; Streptophyta; Magnoliopsida; Brassicales; Brassicaceae.
UGGGAAUCAACCGAUGCUGAGUAGUUGCUGUCGAUCGAUGGUGUAGGCGUGUUGUUGAAGGAAUGGGUUGAAUAUCUUUCAUCCUGCAUAGAAAUCUCUAUAGCUCUUUCCUUCCAGUAAUCCUCAUCAUACUCCUCAGUAGGAUCCUCAUUGGAUGAAAGAAUCACAGUCUCCACUGCAAAACUUUCAUGGAAUCCACUAUCUGCC